GAGCCGGGGAAGGUCGGAGGGAGGGUGGUUUCCUCCCGCCCCACACCCAGUCUCCGAGCCGGAUAUAUAGAGUGUCACGUUUGGGAGCCGAAAGACUGGAGCCGUUUCCUUGUGGCUGGAGCGCUUCCCGUAGCCUCGGGGAAGGAGCAGGAUUUAGAGGACCACUAGUUGGACCCCAUCCUCGUGCUGGAGGAACAGUGUCCUUGCAUGAGGAGUGCCUCUGCCCGGCUGCUGCCCCAUCUGGGAAGUGAGGAGCACCUCUGCCCAGCUGCCACCCCAUCUGGGAUGUGAGGAGCGCCUCUGCCCGGCUGCCCAACCAUCUGGGAAGUGUGGAGCGCCUCUGCCCAGCUGCCCACUGUCUGGGAUGUGAGGAGUGCCUCUGCCCAGCUGCCGCCCCAUCUGGCAAGUGAGGAGUGCCUUUGCCGGCCUGCCAACCGCCUGUGAAGUGAGGAGCACCUCUGCCUGGCCGCCAACCAUGUGGGAAGUGAUGAGGGCCUCUGCCCAGCUGCUGCCCCAUCUGGCAUGUGAGGAGCACCUCGGACUGACUGCCCACCAUCCAGGAAGUGAGAAGUGCCUCUGCCCAGCUGCCCACUGUCUGGGAACUGAGGAGCACCUCUGCCCGGCCGCUGCCCUGUCUAGUAAGUGAAGAGUGUCUCUGCCUGGCCGCCACCCCAUCUGGGAAGUGAGGAGCGUCUCUGCCCUGCCGCCCAACUGACUGGUAAGUGAGGAGUGCCUCUGCCCGGCCGCCAACCAUCUGGGAAGUAAGGAGCACCUCUGCCUGGCUGCCGCCCAGUCUGGGAAGUGAGGAGCGCCUCUGUCUGGCCGCUGCCUCAUCUGGGAAGUGAGGAGCACCUCUGCCCGGCCACCAACU
Molecule: long non-coding RNA, 871 nt
Filed under: Homo sapiens (human)
Lineage: Eukaryota; Metazoa; Chordata; Mammalia; Primates; Hominidae
Description: non-protein coding lnc-CCDC91-3:1
Source: RNAcentral